UGGGGAAUUUUGGACAAUGGGGGCAACCCUGAUCCAGCCAUGCCGCGUGCGGGAAGAAGGCCUUCGGGUUGUAAACCGCUUUUAGCCGGGAAGAAAAGGCAGGGGCUAACACUCUCUGUUCUUGACGGUACCGGCGGAAUAAGCACCGGCUAACUACGUGCCAGCAGCCGCGGUAAUACGUAGGGUGCGAGCGUUAAUCGGAAUUACUGGGCGUAAAGCGUGCGCAGGCGGUUCGUUAAGUCUGAUGUGAAAGCCCCGGGCUCAACCUGGGAAUGGCAUUGGAUACUGGCGGGCUUGAGUGUGGCAGAGGGGGGUUGGAAUUCCGCGUGUAGCAGUGAAAUGCGUAGAGAUGCGGAGGAACACCGAUGGCGAAGGCCAGCCCCCGUGGGCUGACACUGACGC
RNAcentral lists this ribosomal RNA (402 nucleotides) under uncultured bacterium. Its description in RNAcentral is "bacterial SSU rRNA". It matches the Rfam family "Bacterial small subunit ribosomal RNA", at positions 355 to 746 of the family's 1533-position model. The record is from RNAcentral.